AGACUUGUAAAAACCUUGCCAAAUCUUAGGGUUUUCGACUUGAGUAAGAUGUAGAGAAGAAAAGCAAAUAAUUGAAACAGGCCUAGAGACUAAUGAGAAAACGAACAAAUAGUAGGUUCAAGGCGAACAUAACUGAUUUGAAACAUAGAAAGAGUAGCAAGAACACGUUUUAUGAAGCUUAGAACUUAAAUAAAUUUAGAAGAAAGCCGAUAAAGAACUGACGCUUAGUAGAAAAAUACAGUAAAGGAACACAUGGGUAAAUGAACAUAGAAGAAAAACAUGUGUAAGCAUGCUAUAGAAACUAUUAGAAGAAAGAAUGGAAAACAUGCAUAAUAAGACAAACACAAAAGCACAUGAGAAGCACCUGUGAGGAAAGAGAAUGAGAAUAAAGCGAAAACUCAUAAGAACAUGGCAUAUACAGAUAGAUUCACACAAAGAAAAGAAGAUGAAGAAGAGACAUAAGUCAUUUUAAGAUUUUUAGAAAACCCUAGAUUGAAACAGGCUAAAUUUGAAAAAGAAAAAUUGGGAAAAGCUUCAAAACGUUGAAUACAACAAAGAUUCAUCACAAAUCUAAGCAAAAUAAGAGAAGAUGGACCUAGAAAUAGCUUUAGGGUUCCACAGAAACCCUAGAAAUGAGAAGGCUUAGAAAAGGUCUGGUCUCGAACAGAUCUGAGCCGUAGCUAGGCUCUUAAGGCUUAAAUAGGUCAGAACAGAGCCAGAGAGGCCAUAGGAGCAUAGAUCAGUGGAG
Molecule: long non-coding RNA, 748 nt
Filed under: Nicotiana benthamiana
Lineage: Eukaryota; Viridiplantae; Streptophyta; Magnoliopsida; Solanales; Solanaceae
Description: long non-coding RNA (NBEN_LNC019705)
Source: RNAcentral